GUGCACGCUGGCGGUAGGCCUAACACAUGCAAGUCGAACGGCAGCACAGUAAGAGCUUGCUCUUACGGGUGGCGAGUGGCGGACGGGUGAGGAAUACAUCGGAAUCUACUUUUUCGUGGGGGAUAACGUAGGGAAACUUACGCUAAUACCGCAUACGACCUACGGGUGAAAGCAGGGGAUCUUCGGACCUUGCGCGAUUGAAUGAGCCGAUGUCGGAUUAGCUAGUUGGCGGGGUAAAGGCCCACCAAGGCGACGAUCCGUAGCUGGUCUGAGAGGAUGAUCAGCCACACUGGAACUGAGACACGGUCCAGACUCCUACGGGAGGCAGCAGUGGGGAAUAUUGGACAAUGGGCGCAAGCCUGAUCCAGCAAUACCGCGUGGGUGAAGAAGGCCUUCGGGUUGUAAAGCCCUUUUGUUGGGAAAGAAAAGCAGCAGGUUAAUACCCCGCUGUUCUGACGGUACCCAAAGAAUAAGCACCGGCUAACUUCGUG
This 491-nucleotide ribosomal RNA is filed under the name uncultured bacterium. RNAcentral describes it as "partial 16S ribosomal RNA". It matches the Rfam family "Bacterial small subunit ribosomal RNA", at positions 29 to 507 of the family's 1533-position model. The record is from RNAcentral.